AUCUGAUCUCUUGGGUCCUGGUGGGUGGAGUUAAAAGCCAGCUGGACAUGAUUGGGAUCAAUUGUCUAUACCUGGUGUGAAUUACUAGAAGUGCACCAAAUGAAAGCUGAUAGAAGUUUUCAACAGCAUUGAGCAAGAUUUCCAGCUAUCCCUAACUUUAAGGAGAAUCCCGUAUUUCCUGAAUAUGUUGAAUGAGUUAGGGAUAAGCCCCCCUGUACUACUGAUAUAUCUCAAGGCCCUGCUUUGGAAGACCACAUCAUCACCUCAAGACUUUCCACGAAAUUAGAUUUAUUGCCAUUGGUGCAAUGAAUUAUAGAGGUCCACAGAGCACCAGAGUGGGUGGUCAAGUGGAUGAAGAAGGAGAGGAACUAGUCAGAUUCAGGAGCAGUCUCAGUGAGGGAGAAAGUACUGAAGAUGUCAGUCUGCUGUGUUAGUUUUUUCCUUGUAGGUUGUAUUUUAUCUUUGGAGUCAUGUCUUGUAGGAAUGAUCUUUUCCCCAGAAGAUCAUUCUUGGUAUGGAUGAGAUGCAUCUUUCAAAGAUUAUUCUUCCAAAAGAAACAGGAUACCACUAAGGAGUAUAAAAUUAUUCAAUCCAUUUGAAAAGUAUUUUAAUGGAGGAACCUGAAGCAGUCACGUGUUUUGGAUUACAUUUAAAAUCAAUUAUGAUAUCUUUUGUACAAAACCUAGCUAAAUUACUUUGGCUGGGAAUUGGAUGCUUCAGAAUAUAACACUCACUGAGAUAUUGCAGAUGUUGAAGUAUAGAUGUAUAAAACCGUACAGUAUAAAGAAUAUACUGUGUGUGGAUAAUCAGAGCGUUUUUACAAUCUGUUCACAUGCUGCCACAGAGAAGAGUUAUUCAUUACAAUAGAAAAGCUGAGACAAAGGGGAAAAGGAAUGCCUAAAUAGCUGCAGGCAUAAAACAGCAACAAAUGUGCUACAAACAAUUCAGAUUUUUUGUAUUCAGUAGUCUAAAACAAGAAGGAACAACAAAUGAAGCCAAAGACACCGAAGUCUCUCUCAGAUGCAGUUUCCUACCAGAAUGCAGAGGUAUUUCCAUGUCACGUAAAUUACCAGUAUUUAGUUUUAUUGGUGAUAAGAUUUUUUUAUUCUGGGUAAGGUGCUCUGUCAGCUGCUGGUAGCAAAACACUAUUAUUGUUAAUAAUAAUCAUUAUAAUUUCUCGUAUUUCCUACAGCCCUCUUCCCCAUUGCUGUGUUUUCUCAGCUAAACAAGUUUUAUAACUAUUCUAUGUUUUUCAGAGACUCAAAAAUGCAAGAACAAGCCAACCCAGAGCAGAAAUUUCUAUAAAUAAUUAGAAAUGGCAAGUUUAUGUGACAAUAGAACCACUGUUAAUUUUUUGCUGAGGUUACAGUUGUGACAUUUGGGGUAGAUUUUGCUCCAAGAUAUCCCUGAGAUAGUGUACUACCAUGUCUUUAUAUGUGGCUGUGAUCAAAGACUUGGGAUGUUUACAUGAUCUAUAUCUUCCCAUAUAAUUAUCUCUAAUGACGUACUUCAUUCUUCCAUUUACUUCAGUAAGCUGUAACAGAGUCCCAAAAAUUUUCUCAUUGUGUCUAACACGGUUGGUCAAUAAGAGGUAUCAUGUCUCACAAUG
Long non-coding RNA from Gallus gallus (chicken), 1609 nucleotides. The record is from Ensembl. NCBI's taxonomy places the organism in Eukaryota, Metazoa, Chordata, Aves, Galliformes, Phasianidae.